Dermacentor silvarum is the source of this 704-nucleotide long non-coding RNA. RefSeq lists it as uncharacterized. NCBI's taxonomy places the organism in Eukaryota, Metazoa, Arthropoda, Arachnida, Ixodida, Ixodidae. The transcript is spliced from 3 exons. The record is from RefSeq and is a predicted model, not a curated record.
CGGUUGAGAUGGCAGGUUGCGAAGAAGCAUCCAGGUUUCCUCGCUACGCUCGAAGCAGGGGGGCAAAGGGGCGAUGGCCCAUAGAAGGGCGGCCUGCAGAAAAAAUGGCAGUUGCAUGACCUUGUUCCGUACGGUGGCGUGCCCCAGCUGGCCGAGAAAGGGUGGCGGAAUAAGUAGUAGCUGGGGCGGGGCGGCCGUGCUGAUAAUGCAGCCAGGUUGCCAGGCGGGAAAUGCGUUCGUACCCAGGAACGGAGGCAUAUUGGUAAGUCGAUGAUCCGCUUCGGUUUGGACGGGAACGUACUCCGGUUGAGAUGGCAGGUUGCGAAGAACCAUCCAGGUUUCCUCGCUACGCUCGAAGCAGAGGGGCAAAGGGGCGAUGGCCCAUAGACGGGCGGCCUGCAGAAAAAAUGGCAGUUGCAUGACCUUGUUCCGUACGGUGGCGUGCCCCAGCUGGCCGAGAAAGGGUGGCGGAAUAAAUAAUAGCUGGGGCGGGGCGGCCGUGCUGAUAGUGCAGCCAGGUUGCCAGGCGGGAAAUGCGUUCAUACCCAGGAACGGAGGCAUAUUGGUAAGUCGAUGAUCCGCUUCGGUUUGGACGGGAACGUACUCCGGUUGAGAUGGCAGGUUGCGAAGAAGCAUCCAGGUUUCCUCGCUACGCUCGAAGCAGAGGGGCAAAGGGGCGAUGGCCCAUAGAAGGGCGGCCUGCA